CCUACGGGUGGCAGCAGUCGAGAAUCAUUCACAAUGGGGGAAACCCUGAUGGUGCGACGCCGCGUGGGGGAAUGAAGGUCUUCGGAUUGUAAACCCCUGUCAUGUGGGAGCAAAUUAAAAAGAUAGUACCACAAGAGGAAGAGACGGCUAACUCUGUGCCAGCAGCCGCGGUAAUACAGAGGUCUCAAGCGUUGUUCGGAAUCACUGGGCGUAAAGGGUGCGUAGGCGGUUUCGUAAGUCGUGUGUGAAAGGCGCGGGCUCAACCCGCGGACGGCACAUGAUACUGCGAGACUAGAGUAAUGGAGGGGGAGCCGGAAUUCUCGGUGUAGCAGUGAAAUGCGUAGAUAUCUGGAGGAACACUCGUGGCGAAGGCGGGUUCCUGGACCUUAACUGACGCUGAGGCACGAAGGCCAGGGGAGCGAAAGGGAUUAGAUACCCCAGUAGUC
This 446-nucleotide ribosomal RNA is filed under the name uncultured bacterium. RNAcentral's name for it is "partial 16S ribosomal RNA". It matches the Rfam family "Bacterial small subunit ribosomal RNA", at positions 338 to 795 of the family's 1533-position model. The record is from RNAcentral.